AAAAAAAUAAUAAGAACAUGAUGUUGGUUCAGAUUAAAUGCUAAAUAAGGACAUGACACAUGCAAAUCAUACGUUAAUUAUAUAAAAAUAAUUAAAAUGUGGUGUAUACGUGAGUAACUAUUAGGAAUUUAGAACUAUAAGAUAAGUUAAAUGCUUAAUAAAGUAAAUAAUAAAUUAUUAUUAUAAAAAUAAUAUAGUAAUAAUAAAUAUUUAUAAAAUGAAAUGAAUAAUUUUGCUUAUAGUCAAGCCAAUAAUGGUUUAGGUAGUAGGUAUAGUAAGAGUUAUACCUAGCCAACGAUCCAUAAUCGAUAAUGAAAGUUAGAACGAUCACGUUGACUCUGAGACAUAGUCAAUAUCUAAAUGAUACAGCAGUGAGGAAUAUUGGGCAAUGAUCGAAAGAUUGACCCAGUUACUUAUUAGGAUGAUAUAUAAUUAUUUAUUAUAUUAUACUUAAAGUAUAAUAUAAUAAAUUAUAUUCUAAAAAAUAUAAAUUUAUAUAUAUAAAUUGAUUAAAAAUAAAGUCCAUAAAUAGUGAAAAUAAUGAUAUUAGCUACCAUAUAUAAUAAAUAUGGAUAAAUAAAAUAUUUAUGAGAUAUAUAUAUUAACAUAUAUAUUAAAUAUAUAUUAUAUUUAUUUUAAUAGUCCUAACCAAGAUUUGUGCCAGCAGCUGCGGUAAGACAAUGGGGGCUAGCAUUAAUCAUAAUGGCUUAAAGGGUCCGUAGAAUGAAUAAUUAUAAAAAUUAGAGUUAAUAAAUUUAAUUAAAGAAUUAUAAUAGUAAGGAUGAAAUGAUAAUAAUCAUUAUAAGACUGGUAUAUGUGAAAAUAUUAAUUAAAUAUUAACUGACAUUGAGGGACGAAAGCUAGAGUAGCAAUACGGAUUCGAUACCCGAGUAGUUCUAGCUGUAAACAAUGAACACCAUUUAUAUAAAUAAUAUAAAUAAAUGAAAAUGAAAGUGUUCCGCCUGAAGAGUACGUUCGCAAGAAUGAAACUCAAGACAAUAGACGGUUACAGACUUAAGCAGUGGAGCAUGUUAUUUAAUUCGAUAAUCCUCGACAAACCUUACCAUAUUUUGAAUAUAUAAUUAACAAAUUUGUUAAUUAUAAACAGGCGUUACAUCGUUGUCUUCAGUUCGUGCCGCAAGGUCUUAGAUUAAGUUCAUUAACGAACAUAACUCCAUAUAUAUAUUUUAAAUUAUAUAUAAUAUUUAUAUCAUUUAUGAUUAAAUGAAAGGAAUUAAGACAAAUCAUGAUGAUCCUUAUAAUAUGGGUAAUAGACGUGCUAUAAUAAAAUGAUAACAAAGUUAUAUAAAAUUUAUUAUCUAAAUUUAAUUAAUAACAUAAAACAUUUUAAUCUUUAAUAUAUUUAUAUAUUAUAUAUAGUAUGAAUUAUAAUCUGAAAUUCGAUUAUAUGAAAUAAGAAUUGCUAGUAAUACGUAAAUUAGUAUGUUACGGUGAAUACUCUAACUGUUUCGCACUAAUCACUCAUCACGCGUUGAAACAUAAUAUUAUCCUAAUAUUUAUUAUUAUAAUAUUUAUAAUAUUUUUUAAUAUUUAUAAAUAUUAUAAUCUAUAUAUAUAAGAAAUAUUACGAAUUAAUGCGAAGUUGAAAUACAGUUACCGUAGGGGAACCUGCGGUGGGCUUAUUAUAAU
Molecule: non-coding RNA, 1650 nt
Filed under: Lachancea mirantina
Lineage: Eukaryota; Fungi; Ascomycota; Saccharomycetes; Saccharomycetales; Saccharomycetaceae
Description: 15S ribosomal RNA
Rfam family: Bacterial small subunit ribosomal RNA
Source: RNAcentral